CGGUAUUGUUGGCCUACCGCGA
RNAcentral lists this non-coding RNA (22 nucleotides) under Arabidopsis thaliana (thale cress). Lineage: Eukaryota; Viridiplantae; Streptophyta; Magnoliopsida; Brassicales; Brassicaceae. The record is from RNAcentral.